GCCAGGUGUGGUGGCUCACACCUGUAGUCCCAGCAACUUGGGAGACUGAGGCAGGAGGUUGCCAAGUUUGAAGCCAGCCUCAG
This 83-nucleotide small RNA is filed under the name Marmota monax (woodchuck). The record is from RNAcentral. Lineage: Eukaryota; Metazoa; Chordata; Mammalia; Rodentia; Sciuridae.